This 1433-nucleotide ribosomal RNA is filed under the name uncultured organism. RNAcentral's name for it is "SSU rRNA". It matches the Rfam family "Bacterial small subunit ribosomal RNA". The record is from RNAcentral.
AACUCUAGCUACAGGCUUAACACAUGCAAGUCGAGCGUCAGCAUGGUCUUAGCUUGCUAAGGCCGAUGGCGACCGGCGCACGGGUGAGUAACACGUAUCCAACCUGCCGUCUACUCUUGGACAGCCUUCUGAAAGGAAGAUUAAUACAAGAUGGCAUCAUGAGUCCGCAUGUUCACAUGAUUAAAGGUAUUCCGGUAGACGAUGGGGAUGCGUUCCAUUAGAUAGUAGGCGGGGUAACGGCCCACCUAGUCUUCGAUGGAUAGGGGUUCUGAGAGGAAGGUCCCCCACAUUGGAACUGAGACACGGUCCAAACUCCUACGGGAGGCAGCAGUGAGGAAUAUUGGUCAAUGGGCGAGAGCCUGAACCAGCCAAGUAGCGUGAAGGAUGACUGCCCUAUGGGUUGUAAACUUCUUUUAUAAAGGAAUAAAGUCGGGUAUGGAUACCCGUUUGCAUGUACUUUAUGAAUAAGGAUCGGCUAACUCCGUGCCAGCAGCCGCGGUAAUACGGAGGAUCCGAGCGUUAUCCGGAUUUAUUGGGUUUAAAGGGAGCGUAGAUGGAUGUUUAAGUCAGUUGUGAAAGUUUGCGGCUCAACCGUAAAAUUGCAGUUGAUACUGGAUAUCUUGAGUGCAGUUGAGGCAGGCGGAAUUCGUGGUGUAGCGGUGAAAUGCUUAGAUAUCACGAAGAACUCCGAUUGCGAAGGCAGCCUGCUAAGCUGCAACUGACAUUGAGGCUCGAAAGUGUGGGUAUCAAACAGGAUUAGAUACCCUGGUAGUCCACACGGUAAACGAUGAAUACUCGCUGUUUGCGAUAUACUGCAAGCGGCCAAGCGAAAGCGUUAAGUAUUCCACCUGGGGAGUACGCCGGCAACGGUGAAACUCAAAGGAAUUGACGGGGGCCCGCACAAGCGGAGGAACAUGUGGUUUAAUUCGAUGAUACGCGAGGAACCUUACCCGGGCUUAAAUUGCAGAUGAAUUACGGUGAAAGCCGUAAGCCGCAAGGCAUCUGUGAAGGUGCUGCAUGGUUGUCGUCAGCUCGUGCCGUGAGGUGUCGGCUUAAGUGCCAUAACGAGCGCAACCCUUGUUGUCAGUUACUAACAGGUUCCGCUGAGGACUCUGACAAGACUGCCAUCGUAAGAUGUGAGGAAGGUGGGGAUGACGUCAAAUCAGCACGGCCCUUACGUCCGGGGCUACACACGUGUUACAAUGGGGGGUACAGAGGGCCGCUACCACGCGAGUGGAUGCCAAUCCCCAAAACCUCUCUCAGUUCGGACUGGAGUCUGCAACCCGACUCCACGAAGCUGGAUUCGCUAGUAAUCGCGCAUCAGCCACGGCGCGGUGAAUACGUUCCCGGGCCUUGUACACACCGCCCGUCAAGCCAUGGGAGCCGGGGGUACCUGAAGUGCGUAACCGCGAGGAGCGCCCUAGGGUAAAACU